GGAAAAUGGAAUAUAAUUAUGUACAAGGAAAAGCAAUCGCCGACAGGAACUUUAACAUGAAUACUGUACACUGUCUCCAAAAUUCUGUGAUCAGAUUCCCUUUUAUCUGUGGGUGUGAAUAAAAUAUUAUUUCCUGUUGAAGCUACUGAACACGUACAGCCUAUUUGUUUGGGAUGGGCAUCUGUAAUCGUUCUUUACAACUAACAAUUUAGAGCGUUGCCAGGAUUUGUUCUGCACCGCCGCUAACGUAUGUCCAAGCUCCUGUUGAUUUGUGGUACCAUUGAAGGAACCGUCCUAUUGCUCCCACAUUGAAAAUGUUUGCCACAAGGCCAUUGCGAUUUGGCGACAUUCUUCAUCUUAUGUCCUGGAUGGAAAGAAGCUGGUGCAUUCUCCUUUGAGCCCUUAAUUCAGUUGAUUGAAGUGUUUGCACAUUAAUAAGAAUGCAAAUAAUUACUAUUGAAAAAACUUUGGAGUCUUCAGAUGUUAGGAACUAACCUACAUCAAAUAAUUACUCUACAAAACCAAAAGUUCCAAGGAACUAACCUUUGGAUGCAGUGGCGUUUUUGACCGAUAUAUUGCAUUGGAGUCUUCAGAUGUAAGGAAGAGCUUACUAAAUGCUUCUAUUGGUGGCUCAUUUGAGAAUCUUUUAUCAUUUGGGAAAUUACAUUCCUAGGAAGAAGUAAAAGCAUGGGAUUAAAGCAACCCAAAUAAUCAAAUGAUGACACACAAUCAGAGAGCACAGUCUGGAAGACACUAAUAUCGGCUUACUUGAAAAUAUCUGUGUGAGAUCAAAUAUAGUUCCAGUGGUUAAUAAUCACUAACAGCACAAACUAACAAUAGGCCAAUCAUGAUAUUCAUAUCACCUUUUUAUAAAGAGAACGAGCUUUAAAUUUAUCAAGUGCUUCCAAUUUCUCCUUCAAGGCGGCAGCAGGGGUUACU
RNAcentral lists this unclassified non-coding RNA (939 nucleotides) under Hevea brasiliensis (rubber tree). Lineage: Eukaryota; Viridiplantae; Streptophyta; Magnoliopsida; Malpighiales; Euphorbiaceae. The record is from RNAcentral.